UGGGGAAUAUUGCACAAUGGGGGAAACCCUGAUGCAGCAACGCCGCGUGAGUGAUGACGGUCUUCGGAUUGUAAAGCUCUGUCUUUAGGGACGAUAAUGACGGUACCUAAGGAGGAAGCCACGGCUAACUACGUGCCAGCAGCCGCGGUAAUACGUAGGUGGCAAGCGUUGUCCGGAUUUACUGGGCGUAAAGGGAGCGUAGGCGGAUAAUUAAGUGGGAUGUGAAAUACUCAGGCUCAACCUGGGGGCUGCAUUCCAAACUGAUUAUCUAGAGUGCAGGAGAGGAGAGUGGAAUUCCUAGUGUAGCGGUGAAAUGCGUAGAGAUUAGGAAGAACACCAGUGGCGAAGGCGACUCUCUGGACUGUAACUGACGCUGAGGCUCGAAAGCGUGGGGAGCAAACAG
This 403-nucleotide ribosomal RNA is filed under the name uncultured bacterium. Its description in RNAcentral is "bacterial SSU rRNA". It matches the Rfam family "Bacterial small subunit ribosomal RNA", at positions 355 to 775 of the family's 1533-position model. The record is from RNAcentral.